This 107-nucleotide small nuclear RNA is filed under the name Mus spicilegus (steppe mouse). Lineage: Eukaryota; Metazoa; Chordata; Mammalia; Rodentia; Muridae. The record is from RNAcentral.
GUGCUCGCUUCAGCAGCACAUAUACUAAAAUUGGAACGGUACAGAGAAGAUUAGCAUGGCCCCUGCGCAAGGAUGACACACAAAUUCGUGAAGCGUUCCAUAAAAAA